UACGGAAGGUGCGAGCGUUAAUCGGAAUUACUGGGCGUAAAGCGCACGUAGGUGGUUUUAUAAGUCGGAUGUGAAAGCCCCGGGCUUAACCUGGGAAUUGCAUCUGAUACUGUCUGACUAGAGUAUGCUAGAGGGAAGUGGAAUUCCAGGUGUAGCGGUGAAAUGCGUAGAUAUCUGGAGGAACACCGGUGGCGAAGGCGGCAUCCUGGACCGGCAUUGACGCUGAGGCGCGAAAGCUAGGGGAGCAAACGGG
RNAcentral lists this ribosomal RNA (253 nucleotides) under uncultured bacterium. RNAcentral's name for it is "partial 16S ribosomal RNA". It matches the Rfam family "Bacterial small subunit ribosomal RNA", at positions 524 to 776 of the family's 1533-position model. The record is from RNAcentral.